UACAGAGGUCCCAAGCGUUGUUCGGAUUCACUGGGCGUAAAGGGUGCGUAGGCGGUCGGGUAAGUCUGAUGUGAAAUCUCUGAGCUCAACUCAGAAAUGGCAUUGGAUACUAUUCGGCUAGAGAGUCGGAGGGGGGACUGGAAUACUUGGUGUAGCAGUGAAAUGCGUAGAUAUCAAGUGGAACACCAGUGGCGAAGGCGAGUCCCUGGACGACUUCUGACGCUGAGGCACGAAAGCUAGGGGAGCAAACAGG
RNAcentral lists this ribosomal RNA (253 nucleotides) under uncultured bacterium. RNAcentral's name for it is "partial 16S ribosomal RNA". It matches the Rfam family "Bacterial small subunit ribosomal RNA", at positions 524 to 776 of the family's 1533-position model. The record is from RNAcentral.